Long non-coding RNA from Felis catus (domestic cat), 430 nucleotides. RefSeq lists it as uncharacterized. The transcript has 3 exons. Lineage: Eukaryota; Metazoa; Chordata; Mammalia; Carnivora; Felidae. The record is from RefSeq and is a predicted model, not a curated record.
GGUUUUUUUUCCUCUUAACAAGCAUCGAGAAUAAUAGUUUUUUAUAGAUAUAUAUAAAAAAAAGAGAGAGCUUAGAGAAAAAAGUUUUCCCAACUUCUCAUUCCGCCUUCAGUUCCAGACUUCAGAGUCACCGUGAUCAGCGACCUUUUUCCGGACAGUUUUUCCCAUUGAUAGUCGCAGCAAACGGAGCUACAAGGUGGAAACCUUAAAGUCAAAGAUGUACUCUGAAUUUCACUGAAAGCAUCAUGAUCCCAAGCAUUAAAGAUCCAACACUACUGUAAUUUCCACAUGACAAUUACAAUUUGAGGAUGUGUCUUCAGAGUCAAGUGGACAUAGAAAGUGGAUUACUGGUAGCAAAAGACAGCUUAUGAUGUAAACACUCAGUGAUGACUUUGCGGGUCAAUAAAAAUAUUUAUGUCACCUGUUUUAA